Molecule: ribosomal RNA, 497 nt
Filed under: uncultured bacterium
Lineage: Bacteria
Description: partial 16S ribosomal RNA
Rfam family: Bacterial small subunit ribosomal RNA
Source: RNAcentral
GAUGAACGCUGGCGGCGUGCCUAAUACAUGCAAGUCGAGCGAACGGACGAGAAGCUUGCUUUUCUGAUGUUAGCGGCGGACGGGUGAGUAACACGUGGAUAACCUACCUAUAAGACUGGGAUAACUUCGGGAAACCGGAGCUAAUACCGGAUAAUAUUUUGAACCGCAUGGUUCAAAAGUGAAAGACGGUCUUGCUGUCACUUAUAGAUGGAUCCGCGCUGCAUUAGCUAGUUGGUAAGGUAACGGCUUACCAAGGCAACGAUGCAUAGCCGACCUGAGAGGGUGAUCGGCCACACUGGAACUGAACCACGGUCCAGACUCCUACGGGAGGCAGCAGUAGGGAAUCUUCCGCAAUGGGCGAAAGCCUGACGGAGCAACGCCGCGUGAGUGAUGACGGUCUUCGGAUCGUAAAACUCUGUUAUUAGGGAAGAACAUAUGUGUAAGUAACUGUGCACAUAUUGACGGUACCUAAUCAGAAAGCCACGGCUAACUACGUG